This 426-nucleotide long non-coding RNA is filed under the name Panax ginseng (ginseng). Its description in RNAcentral is "long non-coding RNA (PGIN_LNC004573)". The record is from RNAcentral. Lineage: Eukaryota; Viridiplantae; Streptophyta; Magnoliopsida; Apiales; Araliaceae.
GACAAUCAUGUACAGACUUCCGGUAAAUUGACUUGAUCUCUAUUGAAAAUAUUUCCGAAGCCUGUCAGCAUGCCAAGUGUUCUUGAUCUCGGAACCAUCUAAUGCCUUUAACCGGUAAGUGCCUGGCUUUGAUACUUCGAUCACCUCAUACGGCCCUUCCCAGUUUGGCAUUAACUUUCCCGUAUUUUGAGGCGUAGAGGCUUCGGCUUCUCUGAGGACGAAGUCCCCCACUUCGAAUCUGCGAAGUUUGACUCCUUUGUUGUAAUGCUUAGCUACUUUUCGUUGAUAAGCAACUAAUUUGAGUAAAGCUACCUCUCUGAUCCUGCUGAAGAACCGCAACUGCUCGAUCGGACGUCUCAGCCUCUGGCAACUCGGCAUCUGCUUCGGUAAACGAACAUUCCACCAUAAAAUCGGCUAAGGCUUGAC